Molecule: ribosomal RNA, 464 nt
Filed under: Vreelandella stevensii
Lineage: Bacteria; Pseudomonadati; Pseudomonadota; Gammaproteobacteria; Oceanospirillales; Halomonadaceae
Description: partial 16S ribosomal RNA
Rfam family: Bacterial small subunit ribosomal RNA
Source: RNAcentral
CCUACGGCGGCAGCAGUGGGGAAUAUUGGACAAUGGGCGAAAGCCUGAUCCAGCCAUGCCGCGUGUGUGAAGAAGGCCUUCGGGUUGUAAAGCACUUUCAGUGGGGAAGAAAGCCUUGGGGCUAAUACCCUCGAGGAAGGACAUCACCCACAGAAGAAGCACCGGCUAACUCCGUGCCAGCAGCCGCGGUAAUACGGAGGGUGCGAGCGUUAAUCGGAAUUACUGGGCGUAAAGCGCGCGUAGGCGGUCUGAUAAGCCGGUUGUGAAAGCCCCGGGCUCAACCUGGGAACGGCAUCCGGAACUGUCAGGCUAGAGUGCAGGAGAGGAAGGUAGAAUUCCCGGUGUAGCGGUGAAAUGCGUAGAGAUCGGGAGGAAUACCAGUGGCGAAGGCGGCCUUCUGGACUGACACUGACGCUGAGGUGCGAAAGCGUGGGUAGCAAACAGGAUUAGAUACCCCAGUAGUC